GCAUUCUUGUCUACCACCCUGAAGGCGCCUGAUCUCGUCUGAUCUCGGAAGCUAAGCAGGGUCGGGCCUGGUUAGUACUUGGAUGGGAAGACUGGCAUUCUUUGAAACCCACUUGAGAAAUCCUGAUCUAGUGGGUC
This 137-nucleotide ribosomal RNA is filed under the name Octodon degus (degu). Lineage: Eukaryota; Metazoa; Chordata; Mammalia; Rodentia; Octodontidae. The record is from RNAcentral.